Small nucleolar RNA from Vigna unguiculata (cowpea), 107 nucleotides. NCBI's taxonomy places the organism in Eukaryota, Viridiplantae, Streptophyta, Magnoliopsida, Fabales, Fabaceae. The record is from RefSeq and is a predicted model, not a curated record.
AUCUGGUGGUGGGGGUAAUUGGAACACAAAUUCUUGAACCUCUUCCAGUAUUCGUAGAGGCUCUCUCCAAACUACUGAUUGAUGCCAGAAAUCUCUUUUCUUAUGAU